ACCUACCCAUUUCUUAUUUUACUAACUUGAAGUCCAUCCUUUUCUUUUGAUAACAUAUUUCCUAUAUUCUGCAAUUAAAAUUCUUUUUUGACUUUGGUUUUAGAUCUGCUUGAUAUUCCUGAUUCCUUUUCAAUUGCUUACCUAGAUCACAUCUCAUAUACUUGGGGGUAAUGAUGCAAUUAUCAUUAUCAUAAGCAUUUUACUGUCCCAAAUCAACUGCCUAAUGCAAGUAUUAAAUCCUAUGUGGAACUUUGGGGUUCUGAAAAUAUGAGUAGUUGCAAAAAAACCUAAUAUCAUGGGCAAAAAAUUAUUGGUGGUGGACCAAAUUCUGGUAGUAGAUUAUGAGGAUAAGCAAGAUGUCUUCCACUGGAAUACUUCUACAUUGGUCGUCUUUCAGGAAUGAGAUUUAUCAUAUAUGCUUAUAUGCUAAAUAGAGUUGAUUCCUAAUAAAGAUUUCUUUAUUUCAUAUGUUGUGCCUCAGCAGAUUAAAACAUACAAGGGGUGAAGAAUACAUCUGGAAUGCAUCUGUGAGAGAAGAGGCAAAAGCAAUAUUUAUAAAUGAGGAAACAAAAUAUUUCAAGUGAGGAGAUUUGGUGUUAACCAAGGAGAAAACUAAAUGAGCAUAAUCUGAUGACUAUGGUUAUCACUUAAAGUGGUAAAAAGAUGCUACAGCAGCCACUAUGCUUUUGGGUAUGUGAAGUAUGAUGAGUAAGAGGAAGGAGUUAGUGAUUGGGAGAAUUCUAAAUGGUACAAUAGGGAUCAAGGAAGGAAGAUCCAUGGCAUAGUUGUGAGAUUCAAAUUUUGGUUGAUUUGAUUGGUGAUCCUCUAUCAGUUUAACUCUAUUGGAUAAACCUUGUUUCAAUCAGAAAUGUUUAUAUAAUUGAUGUAUCUGUGAUUCUCUC
This 902-nucleotide long non-coding RNA is filed under the name Elaeis guineensis (African oil palm). Its description in RNAcentral is "long non-coding RNA (EGUI_LNC082377)". Lineage: Eukaryota; Viridiplantae; Streptophyta; Magnoliopsida; Arecales; Arecaceae. The record is from RNAcentral.